This 252-nucleotide ribosomal RNA is filed under the name uncultured bacterium. RNAcentral describes it as "partial 16S ribosomal RNA". It matches the Rfam family "Bacterial small subunit ribosomal RNA", at positions 524 to 776 of the family's 1533-position model. The record is from RNAcentral.
UACGUAAGGCCCGAGCGUUGUCCGGAAUCAUUGGGCGUAAAGGGUACGUAGGCGGGUAUUUAAGUUAGAAGUCAAAGGCUAUAGCUCAACUAUAGUAAGCUUCUAAAACUGAAUAGCUUGAGUGAUGGAAGGGAAAGUGGAAUUCCUAGUGUAGCGGUGGAAUGCGCAGAUAUUAGGAAGAAUACCGGUGGCGAAGGCGACUUGCUGGACUUCAACUGACGCUGAGGAACGAAAGCGUGGGUAGCAAACAGG